Molecule: ribosomal RNA, 861 nt
Filed under: uncultured archaeon
Lineage: Archaea
Description: bacterial SSU rRNA
Rfam family: Archaeal small subunit ribosomal RNA
Source: RNAcentral
ACUGCUAUCGGAUUGAUACUAAGCCAUGCGAGUCAUUGUAGUAAUACAAGGCAGACGGCUCAGUAACGCGUAGUCAACCUAACCUAUGGACGGGAAUAACCUCGGGAAACUGAGAAUAAUGCCCGAUAGAACAUUAUGCCUGGAAUGGUUUAUGUUCCAAAUGAUUUAUCGCCGUAGGAUGGGACUGCGGCCUAUCAGUUUGUUGGUGAGGUAAUGGCCCACCAAGACUAUUACAGGUACGGGCUCUGAGAGGAGUAGCCCGGAGAUGGGUACUGAGACACGGACCCAGGCCCUAUGGGGCGCAGCAGGCGAGAAAACUUUGCAAUGUGCGAAAGCACGACAAGGUUAAUCCGAGUGGUUUCUGCUAAAGGAACCUUUUGUCGGUCCUAGAAACACCGAUGAAUAAGGGGUGGGCAAGUUCUGGUGUCAGCCGCCGCGGUAAAACCAGCACCUCAAGUGGUCAGGAUGAUUAUUGGGCCUAAAGCAUCCGUAGCCUGCUUUGUUAGUUUUCGGUUAAAUCUGUGCGCUCAACGUACAGGCUGCCGGGAAUACUGCAAAGCUAGGGAGUGGGAGAGGUAGACGGUACUCGGUAGGAAGGGGUAAAAUCCCUUGAUCUAUUGAUGACCACCUGUGGCGAAGGCGGUCUACCAGAACAUGUCCGACGGUGAGGGAUGAAAGCUGGGGGAGCAAACCGGAUUAGAUACCCGGGUAGUCCCAGCCGUAAACCAUGCAAACUCAGUGAUGCAUUGGCUUGUGGCCAAUGCAGUGCUGCAGGGAAGCCGUUAAGUUUGCCGCCUGGGAAGUACGUACGCAAGUAUGAAACUUAAAGGAAUUGGCGGGGGAGCACCACAAGGGGUGAAG